Long non-coding RNA from Herpailurus yagouaroundi (jaguarundi), 594 nucleotides. RefSeq lists it as uncharacterized. NCBI's taxonomy places the organism in Eukaryota, Metazoa, Chordata, Mammalia, Carnivora, Felidae. The record is from RefSeq and is a predicted model, not a curated record. The transcript is spliced from 3 exons.
AAAAUGACAGUGAGCGUGGCAGGGGCCCCCGCCUGGCCCUCAGAGAGCCAGGUGCGAGCACGGCCCCGUUCCGGGUGGCUCAUCUGGGUACUGUGUGCUUAGCACUUCCUGACUCUCAGACUCUGGAGAUUCUUAAAACGGAUGUCUUGUUUUCACAGAGUAGGAAGACGCUCAUCUUUACUGCGUUAAGAUUAUACCUCAAUCGUGAGAUGGACGCGUACCUAGUACGUAGGCACCAGACGUUACAUCCACCUGGAGCCUGCCUGGCCCGAUGCGCCCCGCGACGGACAGUAAGGCGCAAGGUUUACUCCGGUCAGCCAAACCAGGGGACAGCUCUCACCGUUUCACCAGACCAGUCAGCAGACGCGGGCCCAUCUGACCCACUCCAAACAAGCGGACUGAGUACUGACCAGAGGAGUGAAAUCAGAUCUGCAAACCCACGGCAGGACUCAUGAGGUGUAGAAGAGAGACAGUGCCCGAACGAACCCAGCCCCCACCACUGGCAAGCGGACUCCCAGUAUGCACUGCAGAGAGAGAGGCCGGACAGGUCAGCUGCAGGCCUCCCGCUGGCCGGACCGCCACAGCGCUCCAAGA